UCUGGUGGCGAUAGCGAGAAGGUCACACCCGUUCCCAUACCGAACACGGAAGUUAAGCUUCUCAGCGCCGAUGGUAGUUGGGGGCUCUCCC
Molecule: ribosomal RNA, 91 nt
Filed under: Bacillus sp. DNRA2
Lineage: Bacteria; Bacillati; Bacillota; Bacilli; Caryophanales; Bacillaceae
Source: RNAcentral